AUGACGGCAAAUUAUAGGAAUGCAAAUUAUCCAGCAAUUCUACCAAUUCUAAAAGUAGACAACUAUGAGAAUUCGUGUAAACAGAUGAAAGUCUUAUUCAGGUGUCAAGGUCUUUGGGACCUUGUAAAAGAUGGAGUCGAAGUGCUUGAAGACAACGCUUCAGAAGAAGAAAACAAGAAACACAUAGAAAUUGAGAAGCUGAGUUAUAAAGCGCUCUUUAUAAUUCAUCAAUGUCUGAGUCCAUAA
Vicia faba (fava bean) is the source of this 246-nucleotide non-coding RNA. Lineage: Eukaryota; Viridiplantae; Streptophyta; Magnoliopsida; Fabales; Fabaceae. The record is from the annotation of a GenBank genome assembly.